CAGACCAGUCCGUUCGAAAUACCAGACAGGGGCGGAGGAACCACAUCCGGUGCCUUGGGCACCUUGGGGUGAAGUCCGGUCAACUGCUUCCUUUUAACAAGGGGUGCUUACUGCCCGGGCCGAGUUGAACUCUCACUCGAAUCCGACAGCUAACUUCGCAGGCGUACGGAGAGGACCC
RNAcentral lists this small RNA (178 nucleotides) under Crystallibacter crystallopoietes. RNAcentral's name for it is "Arthrobacter crystallopoietes c-di-AMP sequence". It matches the Rfam family "c-di-AMP riboswitch aptamer (ydaO/yuaA leader)". Rfam says of the family: This family represents a conserved RNA structure found upstream of the ydaO and yuaA genes in Bacillus subtilis and related genes in other bacteria. The ydaO/yuaA element is thought to act as a genetic "off" switch for the ydaO and yuaA genes in its native state. It is believed that the element may be triggered during osmotic shock leading to activation of ydaO, a predicted amino acid transporter gene, and members of the yuaA-yubG operon which code for KtrA and KtrB K+ transporters. The record is from RNAcentral. Lineage: Bacteria; Bacillati; Actinomycetota; Actinomycetes; Micrococcales; Micrococcaceae.